AGAGUUUGAUCCUGGCUCAGAACGAACGUUGGCGGCGUGGAUUAGGCAUGCAAGUCGAACGAAUCCCAUCUGGGUAACUGGGUGGGGGAAGUGGCGAAAGGGGCAGUAAGGCGUGGGUAACCUACCCUGGGGAUGGGGAUAGCCUUCCUAACGGAAGGGUAAUACCCGGCGACGUAGCGUGAUCGCAUGGUUGUGCUACCAAAUGAGUUUCGCCCUGGGAGGGGCUCACGUAGUAUUAGCUUGUUGGUGAGGUGACGGCUCACCAAGGCCAAGAUGCUUAGCAGGUGUGAGAGCACGACCUGCGCCACUGGCACUGUGACACUGGCCAGACUCCUACGGGAGGCUGCAGUCGAGGAUCUUCGGCAAUGGGCGCAAGCCUGACCGAGCGACGCCGCGUGUGCGAUGAAGGCCUUCGGGUUGUAAA
This 424-nucleotide ribosomal RNA is filed under the name uncultured bacterium. RNAcentral's name for it is "bacterial SSU rRNA". It matches the Rfam family "Bacterial small subunit ribosomal RNA", at positions 8 to 429 of the family's 1533-position model. The record is from RNAcentral.